CUACGGGGCGCUGCAGCCGAGAAUAUUCGACAAUGGGCGAAAGCCUGAUCGAGCGACGCCGCGUGCAGGAAGAAGGCCUUCGGGUUGUAAACUGCUUUUCUCCUAGAAGAAGUAUAGCCGCAAGGCUGUAUUGACAGUAUAGGAGGAAUAAGGGGAUCCUAAUUCUGUGCCAGCAGGAGCGGUAAGACAGAAUCCCCAAGCGUUACCCGGAUUUAUUGGGCGUAAAGGGUCCGUAGGCGGCUGGGCGUGUCCUUAGUUAAACACUCAAGGCUCAACCUUGGGAAAGCUAAGGAAACUACCCGGAUAGAGGGCGUUAAAGGCUAGCGGAACGCACGGUGUAGGGGUGAAAUCCGUUGAUAUCGUGCGGAACACCAAAAGCGAAGGCAGCUAGCUGGGGCGACCCUGACGCUGAGGGACGAAAGCGUGGGGAUAGAACGGGAUUAGAUACCCCCGUAGUC
RNAcentral lists this ribosomal RNA (458 nucleotides) under uncultured bacterium. Its description in RNAcentral is "partial 16S ribosomal RNA". It matches the Rfam family "Bacterial small subunit ribosomal RNA", at positions 339 to 795 of the family's 1533-position model. The record is from RNAcentral.